UACGUAGGGUGCAAGCGUUGUCCGGAAUUAUUGGGCGUAAAGAGCUCGUAGGCGGCUUGUCACGUCGACUGUGAAAACCCGGGGCUCAACUCCGGGCCUGCAGUCGAUACGGGCUGGCUUGAGUGCGGUAGGGGAGACUGGAAUUCCUGGUGUAGCGGUGAAAUGCGCAGAUAUCAGGAGGAACACCGGUGGCGAAGGCGGCCUUCUGGGCCUGUUCUGACGCUGAGGAGCGAAAGCGUGGGGAGCAAACAGG
Molecule: ribosomal RNA, 253 nt
Filed under: uncultured bacterium
Lineage: Bacteria
Description: partial 16S ribosomal RNA
Rfam family: Bacterial small subunit ribosomal RNA
Source: RNAcentral